GUGACCAGAAGCAGGCUUGGACUCCAGCUGUUGACACAGCAGGGAAUUACUGUUGCUGUAAACCUUCACAGGCACAGGACUCAACAAUGAGGUCUGGAGAUGGCAGAAGCCAAAGUCUCCAAAGGAGUUUUGUUUCAGUCUUUUGAGAUGGGAAUCUCACCACGGAAGUCCCGGACAGCCCUGAACUCACAAUCACCUUGCUUGACCUCUUCCAGCUUCCUGCUGCGGCUGCUGAUUGCAGAAGUGACUCACUGCUGGUGUUGGGUGACACUGAAGAUCAAGGAUGGAUGAUAAAAAUACCCUGGAUUGUGCAACCUGAGGGAGAGGAUGCAGCGCUUGCACCUAGAUUCAAAGCACCAGCCAGGAACCUUGAACAAUGGCCACAGUUUGGUCUCUUUGGGGAAGCAGAGUAAAGACAGGAGUCAGAACAUAAGCUGACCUGUGACAGAUUUGCUGGGCCUGUGUUCUCUGCCCUUUUGGGUGUGUUUUCUGAGAAACGCAGUACAGAUAUUUAGCAGGACAACCUGGCUCACAUGAGGGACCCAAAAGGAAGACCCUGGUUCAGCAAGCAGUGAGCGGAGAGGCCCUGACAUUUCCUAUUGUCAGCCCUGAGAGCAGGGUUCUUUCUUUCUGGGCUUGUUCUCCAUUGCAAAGGACUGUCCUCUGCCAGUAUGGGAACUGUGAGUGAAGCCACCGUGACAGAGUGGCUCCAGGCUGUCUACUGCCCUAACACACAACCCUGACAGCAGGGUCAUCUAAAUCUGUCCUGUGUGCAAAGUGGCACCACAGCAACCAGCUGCCUUCCUAGGAGGAAACUCACCUUCCUUCACCCAAAUCCACUGGUGGGAUGGAUGAAAACCAGAACGCUAAUUACACCCCAUGGGCCCCAUGGGCUGAGCAAAACCAAGCAACUUUUUCUAAAGAACUAGUCCCCGGCCAGGGCACAGACUACUCAAGAUGGAAGUGAGUGAGAGGCAGGAAAAUCACCCCAUCAGAAGGCCAAGCAAAUGGGAGCAGAGACUUCAGAGCAGAACUGAGCGGGCAUUGUGCUCCUACUGUAAUCCCACUACAUGGGAGGCCUGGACUAGAGACAGACCCCAUCUUAAGCAGAAAUAGAUAAAGAGGAAGGAAGAAGGAAGGAAGGAAGGAAGGAAGGAAAGAAGGAAAAAAGGAAGAGGUACCUGUCUCUCCGUGUAUAUGUGUGUAUUUGGGCAUCUUACAGAUAGACCCUCACAACAGAAUUCAUGCUACGACAGCAUCAUUCUCCAGGAGGUGAAGCAGGAAGCAUCCUCAUAAACUUCCGGUGCUAUUCUAGAUGAAUAGGGACCUGGCUGAGCAGGGAGGCUAAGUUUGCCUUUGAGAGCUCCCUUGACUACCUUCUCUCUCUAACACACACAAUGCCUGCCCGUCUUUGGGAAGAUGUGAGACCCAGAGAGUUCCUCUGGAACUCCCCUUCUUAGUAAGUGAGUCACUGGCUAAGUGAGGCAGAGGGCACUGGCAGAAGCUUAUAGAAACAGACCUUUCCCGCACACACCUGACCACACAUGCCCACAUGUUACCAGCACAACGGAAAGGCUGGGGAGCUAGCUAAUGCCAGAGUCUGGCUGACCCGGGACCUCAGAUAGAGAGAACGUCCAGUGACUCCCACCCUGGAUCCCAACAAAUGUUGGCAGGCACAGCUCUAGGCCAGGCUGUCCUCAUGUGGCACAAAGGGCUGCUUCCCAAACUCACCCAAGCAGGCAGUGGGAAGGGAGGCGCCAGCAAGCCGAAGGAGGCUUUUCUCAACUGAUCAUCUUGGGAAAAGGCAGAUACAAAUUUCAUGGCUGGAAUGCAAGGGUUGUGAAACUGCUGAAGACGCCCCAAAGAGGGCCCAGGACGCUCCUUCCAGGAAGGCAGUGGGAGGAGGACUGGCAACAGCGGGGGGCGGGGGGGGAGAACAGGUUACCAGAGGGGCUGCCUUCUGGGAAGCAGGAACUAGGGCCUCCAAAAAGAAAGAAAUCCCAUGGUCCUGAGGUAGAAUAUGAGCCAGAGAUAGGUUUAUGCUUGCUUCUGAAGAAGAAAAUGAGGCCUGUUUUAGAACGAGCCAGCUAUGACACAGCUCAUUAUUUUAAAAAUCAUCGGGGCUAAUGAGAGGUCCUCCUUACAGCUAAACAAACCCAGUCACCCAGUCAUCUAACGUGGACCUAGCUUGUCCUCAGUGUCAUGUGAGAGCUUGUCCCUAGUCAUGCUACAACCAGUUAGUUACACGAGUUCCCCAAGUGAGAUCAUUAUUAUCUCAGAGACAUGGCCUGCAGGUCCUCAGAGGGUCCCGGAGCACAGGACAAGGAAGGCCACACCUGUUGAGAUCACCCUUAACUGCUUACCCUACAUCUCAAGUGUUUCUUCUGGAAAAGGAAAAAAUAUAAGACUAUUUACUUCACACAGUGGCUGCAGGGAUGAAUUGAAUUAAUAUUGGUAUGAACUGUUGGCUGCUAUGGAUGUAUGAAAUUAGCAAGUACCCAAUUCCCCAAGUAGGCCAGAACCCAGUUGCUGAUGCCGAGGCCUGAUCAGCUGUUCUAAGCGAACCCAUCUCUAUAACCUCCUCGAUCACAUCCAGAGCCACAAAGACCCAUGCAUCAGAGCUGCCCAGCCCAAAGUCCUGACUAAGGGGAAACUGGACAGGCAGACAAAAUAGGACCCAUGCUGUGAUGGCAGCCUCCCAGGGGAGGACAAACACUGGUUCCAGCACAUUUGGGGCCGGGUUUCUCUGUCACCAUCUUUAUGGUGAGUCUGAAAUGAGGUCAGGUCCCAGAGUGGACAGCACAGAUAUUACAAUGGUGCUUGCUAAUCUCAGCCGAUCUGGCUAUUGUCAAGCCUGAGACAGCAGAGACCUAGGCUCCAGGAGAGCUGAGGGCACUCAGGAGAACGGUCUUCGUGGACCAUUGCUCAACUGCUUAUUAGCAAAUUGGUAACAAGGACCAAGAACCUCAGGAGAGGGUCUGACCCCCACCCUCCCCAGAUGCCAGACUUCAGCGCUUUGGGUUCCUGAUUGGGCACUUGAGCUGCAGGGACGGCAGAAGACUCCAGAGGGUUCGCACCUCUGAUCUAUUCUCACCCAUCUCUGUGUAUCAGCCAAUGGAGGGCAAAGAGUAGGGGCAAAGGGGACGGCCUUCUGCCAAUACCCAGCCCUGCUGCCUUACUGUCCAGUUGUGUCUACAGAAACUGAGAGCCCGGUCUGUGCCCUUUGCAGUGUCUAGGGCACAAUAGCCAGACAUAUAAAUAAGAAACAGAACGAGAUAUCAGGCGUGUCUCAGGUCAAAGAGAGGCAACAAGGGGCAUCUCUGCAAGAGCUCUCUGUCAGAGCUCUGGCGUCCUCUGAGAGGCGGGAGGAGCAGCUACAUUUUCAGCAAACUACUCGAGGCUACAAGUCCACUUCUGACCUGCCACCAGUGCCAGAGAAGCCCAGGGCAAGAAGCCACACUUGGGGCUUAGGGAGUACAGUCCUGGGUCAGGGUCCAGACUGCAGGUGGAAAGCUUCCAGAUGCCCCAUGACACAGCUUGGCUAUCUGCUACUGCCACGACAAAACACGAGUGACCUAAGAAAGUCAUUGGCUUGCAGCUAAGGGCUGCUGAGUGGCAAUGGAAGCCUCUACAUGCUGUUAGAGAGCUCAAUUCUUCCAGCUCUGGAAGGCAGGUAUACCUGUGAGCUGCGCUGGAUGGAAGGGUGCUCAGAGUAACCCUCUUGACACCAUAAUCCGCUCCCAGGACACAUACUGGUGUUAAACAGCCAGGCUCCCCCACCUCAGAUCCUUCAGCAGCUUCCCAUGCUAGCUGCAGUUCUGGGUGCACCCUGAUCCUCUCUCUCCAAGACACACUGCCUACUUUAGAUGAUGGCAUCUUUCCUGUAGUGUGCAGUAACACUCAUCUUUCUGGGGAUCAUGAAUCAGCAACUGGGGCCUGACUCCAAAGCUGUGGUCACUUCCAACAAACUGUAUGUGCAGUCAGACGGCACUCGCCAUGAACAGUUCAUUGUUUCAUUCAUGUUCCCCCCAAAGGAAGGCCUGCACAUCCCAGCUGGCCCCCAGGACUUGAGGUUAUCACAUAACAAGCUUAUAGUAAAGGGUUCUUAGAAGGCAGGCAGAUCAUCCUAGUGGUGUAGGAUUGGCCCAGCUCCAUUUUCACCUGAGGCCCAACAAUCUCCUGAGCAGGCCAGGUUCUUGCUCUGAGCUGUCAGCACCGAGGCAUCCAGACUAGAUGAGAAGGGUUCCUAGCUCUAGCCUUGCUCUGCACUUGCGUCCUAACAGAGGAAGAGGUGGGAAGGAAGCAGAUCUGACCUCUGUGGUCGGCUGGUUUCUCCCAAGGACUACAGGACCCCGAGACAGGCAGCAGAGGCCUGCUAAGGAUUUCCCUUCCCUUCCCUGGGCCCCAGGAAAGGCAGGCAGGAAGAAGGGCCUCGGCAGCAGGCAUGCAGUGCAGGGCUGGCCAGACAAGGAGGUCCCAGGGGUUGCAGCUAUCAGCCAGAGCCCAGGCUCCAGGAAGGAAGGAAGGGCAACUCUGACUGCGGCUGAGAUAAGGGGACUGGCUUAGCACAAUGGGCUCCCACAAGGCUCAGAGGCCCCCAGUCAGAUUUUGCCCUGACCUGGACUCUCGUCUGUUCACACAGCCCAUAUAAAUAUUUACUGCUGUUUACAUUCAUGCUCUACAGAGUCCCCUUUGAGAACCUUUCCUUCAACCACAGGUCUGUGUGUCCCUGGACCACGGCUAUCCUUAACCCCAGAGACCCCAGGUCCCUUCACCCAGAACUAUGUGCACUGAUCUCUCUCAUGCAAUCCUUGGUUAUAGCCCCUCAGGAAAAAUACCAUCCUCUUGUCUUAGCCCUGGAACAUGACACUUACGGGGGA
Molecule: long non-coding RNA, 4880 nt
Organism: Myodes glareolus (Bank vole)
Lineage: Eukaryota; Metazoa; Chordata; Mammalia; Rodentia; Cricetidae
Source: RefSeq, a predicted model, not a curated record